AAUGACCUACGGGGGGCAGCAGUGGGGAAUAUUGCACAAUGGGGGAAACCCUGAUGCAGCGACGCCGCGUGAGCGAAGAAGUAUUUCGGUAUGUAAAGCUCUAUCAGCAGGGAAGAAAAAUGACGGUACCUGAGUAGGAAGCACCGGCUAAAUACGUGCCAGCAGCCGCGGUAAUACGUAUGGUGCAAGCGUUAUCCGGAUUUACUGGGUGUAAAGGGAGCGCAGGCGGUGCGGCAAGUCUGAUGUGAAAGCCCGGGGCUCAACCCCGGGACUGCAUUGGAAACUGUAUAACUGGAGUGCAGGAG
Molecule: ribosomal RNA, 305 nt
Filed under: uncultured bacterium
Lineage: Bacteria
Description: bacterial SSU rRNA
Rfam family: Bacterial small subunit ribosomal RNA
Source: RNAcentral